AUUAAAACAAAAGGGAUACCAUAAAGAUUUUGACCAAUUUGUAGAGAUUGUGACAGGCAACGACUGUAAAGGUAACAUAGAGGAGACAUUGUCGUAUCUAAUAAGACAAACUCCAGAAUGGUUUAUGUUUAAAAAUCUGAAGUUAAGUUUAAAAAACUGAAAUUGUAAAAACGAAAAGGGAGGAGGGGGCAUACAUUAAGUUGAUUUUUGACCCAUUUAUAGAGAUUGUGCAGCUGAGACAUUAGUGUAUCUAUUAAGACAAUUUCCAGGAUGGUUUAUGUUAAAAGAUCUGAAGUUAGGUUGAAAAAUUGUAAUUAAAAACAAAAAGGGGGGAUACCUUAAGUUGAUUGUUGACCCAUUUAUAGAGAUUGUGACGGGCAACGACUGCCUAUAGGUGAUAUAGAGGAGACAUUGGCGUAACGUUUAGGAAAAUCUCCAGAGUGGUUUAUGUUCGAAAAUCUGAAUUUACGGUUAAAAAACUGAAAUUGUGAAAUUGACAAAAUGAGAUUAGGAGGGUAGGGCACUAAAAGUAAAGUUUGCAUCAAUUUGAAGAGAUUGUAACGGACAACGACUAAAUAGGUGUUGUAGAGGAGACAAUGGCGCAUCGUUUAAGAAAAUCUCCAGAGUGGUUUAUGUUCGAAAAUCUGAAGUUACGGUUAAAAAACUGAAAUUGUGCAAUUGACAAAAUGAGAUUAGGGGGGUAGGUCACUAAAAGAAAAAUUUGGACUAUUUUAAAGAGAUUGUGACGGGCAACGACUAUAUAGGUGUUGUAGAGGAGACAUUGGCGCAUCGUUUAAAAAAAUCUCCAGAGUGGUUUAUGUUCGAAAAUCUGAAGUUACGGUAAAAUAACUGAAAUUGUGAAAUCGACAAAAUGAGAUUAGGGGGGUAGGCCAAUUUAAGUUAAUUUUGGACCAAUUUCAAGAGAUUGUGACGGGCAACGACUAUAUAGGUGUUGUAGAAGACACAUUGGCGCAUCGUUUAAGAAAAUCUCCAGAGUGGUUUAUGUUCGAAAAUCUGAAGUUACGGUUAAAAACUGAAAUUGUGAAAUUAACAAAAUGAGAUUAGGGGGGAAGGCAAAUUUAAGUUAAUUUUGGACAAAUUUCAAGAGAUUGUGACGGGCAACGACUAUAUAGGUGUUAUAGAGGAGACAAUGGCGCAUCGUAUAAGAAAAUCUCCAGAGUGGUUUAUGUUCGAAAAUCUGAAGUUACGGUUAAAAAACUGAAAAUUAUAUUGUGAAAUUGACAAAAUGAGAUUAGGGGGGUAGGUCACUAAAAGAAAAAUUUUGACCAUUUUAAAGAGAUUGUGACGGGCAACGACUAUAUAGGUGUUGUAGAGGAGACAUUGGCGCAUCGUUUAAGAAAAUCUCCAGAGUGGUUUAUGUUCGAAAAUCUGAAGUUACGGUAAAAUAACUGAAAUUGUGAAAUUGACAAAAUGAGAUUAGGGGGGUAGGCCAAUAUAAGUUAAUUUUGGACCAUUUUCAAGAGAUUGUGACGGGCAACGACUAUAUAGGUGUUGUAGAAGACACAUUGGCGCAUCGUUUAAGAAAAUCUCCAAAGUGGUUUAUGUUCGAAAAUCUGAAGUUACGGUUAAAAAACUGAAAAUUUUAUUGUGAAAUUGACAAAAUGAGAUUAGGGGGGUAGGGCACAAAAAGGAAAUUUUGGACCAUUUCAAAGAGAUUGUGACGGGCAACAACUAUAUAGGUGUUGUAGAGGAGACAUUGGCGCAUCGUUUAAGAAAAUCUCCAGAGUGGUUUAUGUCCCAAAAUCUGAAGUUACGGUUAAAAAACUGAAAUUGUGAAAUUGAGAAAAUGAGAUUAGGGGGUAGGCCAAUUAAAGUUAAUUUUGCACCAAUUUCAAGAGAUUGUGACGGGCAACGACUAUAUAGGUGUUGUAGAGGAGACAAUGGCGCAUCGUAUAAGAAAAUCUCCAGAGUGGUUUAUGUUCGAAAAUCUGAAGUUACGGUUAAAAAACUGAAAAUUAUAUUGUGAAUAUGACAAAAUGAGAUUAGGGGGGUAGGUCACUAAAAGAAAAAUUUGGACCAUUUUAAAGAGAUUAUGACGGGCAACGACUAUAUAGGUGUUGUAGAGGAGACAUUGGCGCAUCGUUUAAGAAAAUUUCCAGAGUGGUUUAUGUUCGAAAAUCUGAAGUUACGGUAAAAUAACUGAAAUUGUGAAAUUGACAAAAUGAGAUUAAGGGGGUAGGCCAAUUUAAGUUAAUUUUGGACCAAUUUCAAGAGAUUGUGACGGGCAACGACUAUAUAGGUGUUGUAGAAGACACAUUGGCGCAUCGUUUAAGAAAAUCUCCAAAGUGGUUUAUGUUCGAAAAUCUGAAGUUACGGUUAAAAAACUGAAAUUGUGAAAUUGACAAAAUGAGAUUAGGGGGGGGUAGGCAAAUUUAAGUUAAUUUUGGACAAAUUUCAAAAGAUUGUGACGGGCAACGACUAUAUAGGUGUUGUAGAGGAGACAAUGGCACAUCGUUUAAGAAAAUCUCCAGAGUUGUUUAUAUUCGAAAA
Long non-coding RNA from Mytilus californianus (California mussel), 2511 nucleotides. RefSeq lists it as uncharacterized. Lineage: Eukaryota; Metazoa; Mollusca; Bivalvia; Mytilida; Mytilidae. The transcript has 5 exons. The record is from RefSeq and is a predicted model, not a curated record.